This 465-nucleotide ribosomal RNA is filed under the name uncultured bacterium. Its description in RNAcentral is "partial 16S ribosomal RNA". It matches the Rfam family "Bacterial small subunit ribosomal RNA", at positions 28 to 507 of the family's 1533-position model. The record is from RNAcentral.
GACGAACGCUGGCGGCGUGCUUAACACAUGCAAGUCGAACGGAAAGGCCCUGCUUGCAGGGUACUCGAGUGGCGAACGGGUGAGUAACACGUGGGCGAUCUGCCCUGCACUUCGGGAUAAGCCUGGGAAACUGGGUCUAAUACCGGAUAGGAGCCAUUUUUAGUGUGAUGGUUGGAAAGUUUUUUCGGUGUAGGAUGAGCUCGCGGCCUAUCAGCUUGUUGGUGGGGUAAUGGCCUACCAAGGCGGCGACGGGUAGCCGGCCUGAGAGGGUGGACGGCCACAUUGGGACUGAGAUACGGCCCAGACUCCUACGGGAGGCAUCAGUGGGGAAUAUUGCACAAUGGGCGCAAGCCUGAUGCAGCGACGCCGCGUGGGGGAUGACGGCCUUCGGGUUGUAAACUCCUUUCGCUAGGGACGAAGCUUUUUGUGACGGUACCUAGAUAAGAAGCACCGGCUAACUACGUG